Molecule: long non-coding RNA, 1754 nt
Filed under: Cinara cedri
Lineage: Eukaryota; Metazoa; Arthropoda; Insecta; Hemiptera; Aphididae
Source: RNAcentral
CAGACGUUUUUUUAGAGUUAUUUUUAAACAAGUCGGUAAAUAAAUUAUGUAAGUAUUUUUAACAAAUAUAUUCUAUUUUUAAUUUUAUUUCUCAUUCGAGAAAAUUUUAAAUUACUUAACCACUUUUUUUACUACCGACGUAUUCAAAUUUUUACGCUUUAAGAUAAUUUUAAAUUCGAAGCGUAUAGUGUGAGUACUUUUUUUUCUGUCUGUGAACAAAUUUUCUACCAAAAACUUUAAGUUAACACGAUGUUUUCAAUGAGAAAUAUUACUCUUAUACAAAAAUAAAAGAAGAUCGAUUUUGUUCCUUUUAAUAUUUCGCCACUGAAAGAGUAAAUCGUUUUUCGACGUCNCAUUUCUUAAAGUAAAUUUUCUCUAUUUGGUGCAUUGAGGAGGUGAGUUUUUAAUUUUCCAAUGGGUUUUCGAAAUAAUUAGGGAAUAUCCGAAAGAAAAUUAUAUAUAAAAUGACAAAUAUUUAUGGCACACAGCGGCGUGAAUGUUUUCGUUGUUUUUAUUAAGUUAACACGAUGUUUUCUAUGAGAAAUAUUACUCUAAUCCAAAAAUAAAAGAAGAUCGAUUUUGUUCCUUUUAAUAUUUCGCCACUGAAAGAGUAAAUCGUUUUUCGACGUCCAUCGUAGUUUUCGUAAUAAUUAAGAAAAGCCAACAAAUUAAAAUUGAUUAAUAUUUAUGGCAACGCAGUGUCCCGGUUUAAUUAUUUUAAUAUGAUCAAGUUAUGUUUUCUAUCAAAAACAUUACUUCAAUCGAAAAAUUACAAGAGAUCUAUUUUAUUUCUUUGAAUGUGUAGCCACUGAAAAUCAGAGUCGUUUUUAUAUAAUAAAAGGGUAGUGUAAUACAUUAUACUACCCAUCUCAUGAAACUAUCUUUAAAAUCCUGUAUAAAUGAGCUGUUUAAGUUUGAUUAUAUCUAUGAGUGUUUUCUGUUUUCCAAUUAUAUUGACAAAUGAUUUUUAUAAUAAAUGUUAGACAUUUCUAGUAAUUAUUGAGUUUGGCAGUUUAUAAUAAUUUAAAUGGUUAUUUUUGACAGGUCUAACAUGAAAAUAAAUACUCGAAUAAUUCUGUUGAUUAUUUUCAUAUUUUUUAAUUUCAAUAAAUAUUUUGCUUACGGAGACAGUACUAAAAAUGUUAUGAAAAUUACAUUGCCAGCGUAUGCAGUUGCAAGUGAAUCAUUUAUUUUAAGUAAUUUCAGUCGUUGUCGUGAACAUUUGGAUAUUCUUGUCGAGGCCAUUAACAACAGAAAAGCAUGGAGCCUGAAAAGUAAGACAAAUUUCUAAUGAGGUUUUAUUUAAAAUACUAUUUUAAAUAAUUAAAUUAUCUAAAGUUGUUUUUAAAGCUUAACAAAUUUUAUAAAAUAAAAAGGAAGGUUUCGAUUUCAAAAGAAGGUAUGUGGAGGAGAAUGUGUUUUAAGAUUCUGAGGGGCAGGAUUUCGGCGCUGAUAUCGGGAAAGGAGGUUGUGAUGACGGGGUAUGGAUUACUGAUAGCGUUAUUUGGAGAGGAGUUUUCGCGAGAGGUUUUGAUUUCAGGAGAAUGUAUGUGGAGGAACAUAUGUUUAAAGAUAUCGGUUCGCGUUAUCGGCGAGAGGUUUGUGGUAAGUGUCUAUAAUAGUCGCAAAGAAUACUUAUUUUUUCGCUGUGUGUGUGUUCGAAUGUGAUUUUUUUUGAAACUCUUCGUUAAAGAUUUAAUUAUUAUAAUUGUAUUAUUAUUACUGAUAUUAUAUAUACUACUAAAUAAAUAAAA